This 490-nucleotide ribosomal RNA is filed under the name uncultured bacterium. RNAcentral's name for it is "partial 16S ribosomal RNA". It matches the Rfam family "Bacterial small subunit ribosomal RNA", at positions 28 to 507 of the family's 1533-position model. The record is from RNAcentral.
GAUGAACGCUAGCUACAGGCUUAACACAUGCAAGUCGCGGGGCAGCAUGGGGGUUGCUUGCAAUCCCCGAUGGUGACCGGCGCACGGGUGAGUAACGCGUAUCCAACCUGCCCUUCACCACGGGAUAACCCGGCGAAAGUCGGACUAAUACCGUAUGUUGUCCAUUGACGGCAUCCGAUUUGGACGAAAGGUUUGGCGGUGAAGGAUGGGGAUGCGUCCGAUUAGCUGGACGGCGGGGUGACGGCCCACCGUGGCGACGAUCGGUAGGGGUUCUGAGAGGAAGGUCCCCCACACUGGAACUGAGACACGGUCCAGACUCCUACGGGAGGCAGCAGUGAGGAAUAUUGGUCAAUGGGCGUAAGCCUGAACCAGCCAAGUAGCGUGCAGGAUGACGGCCCUAUGGGUUGUAAACUGCUUUUAUGCGGGGAUAAAGUGGCCCACGUGUGGGUUUUUGCAGGUACCGCAUGAAUAAGGACCGGCUAAUUCCGUG